UACGAAGGGGGCGAGCGUUGUUCGGAAUUACUGGGCGUAAAGGGCGCGCAGGCGGCUCUGUUUGUCAGGCGUGAAAGCCCCGGGCUCAACCUGGGAACUGCGUUUGGGACGGCAGGGCUAGAGAUCGGGAGAGGAGAGUGGAAUUCCCAGUGUAGAGGUGAAAUUCGUAGAUAUUGGGAAGAACACCGGUGGCGAAGGCGGCUCUCUGGACCGAGACUGACGCUGAGGCGCGAAAGCGUGGGGAGCAAACAGG
This 253-nucleotide ribosomal RNA is filed under the name uncultured bacterium. RNAcentral describes it as "partial 16S ribosomal RNA". It matches the Rfam family "Bacterial small subunit ribosomal RNA", at positions 524 to 776 of the family's 1533-position model. The record is from RNAcentral.